Long non-coding RNA from Homo sapiens (human), 1091 nucleotides. Ensembl annotates it as serine protease 30, pseudogene. Its record names the gene PRSS30P. The record is from Ensembl. NCBI's taxonomy places the organism in Eukaryota, Metazoa, Chordata, Mammalia, Primates, Hominidae.
UUCUGACCUCUGGCUCCUUGGAGGGACUGGCCUGAGGUGGGCCCUGGCAUCCCCAGCCUCCUCUAAACCACCUCCCUGGAACAUGCGGGACAGGAGCCCAAGCGGCAUCUGAGGAGGGCGGGUUCUGCCAGGCACAGAGGGCUCCAGCGUGAUUGCCACUGGUUAAUGACCUGCCACCCCCGCCCCCCCAACCUCUGGUGCCGUCCAAGGACUCUGACCCCAGUGCAGUGUCUGUAGGGAAGAGGAGCCAUGGGGCUUCGGGCAGGCCCCAUCCUGCUUCUGCUGCUGUGGCUGCUGCCAGGGGCCCAUUGGGAUGUGCUGCCUUCAGAAUGCGGCCACUCCAAGGAGGCCGGGAGGAUUGUGGGAGGCCAAGACACCCAGGAAGGACGCUGGCCGUGGCAGGUUGGCCUGUGGUUGACCUCAGUGGGGCAUGUAUGUGGGGGCUCCCUCAUCCACCCACGCUGGGUGCUCACAGCCGCCCACUGCUUCCUGAGGUCUGAGGAUCCCGGGCUCUACCAUGUUAAAGUCGGAGGGCUGACACCCUCACUUUCAGAGCCCCACUCGGCCUUGGUGGCUGUGAGGAGGCUCCUGGUCCACUCCUCAUACCAUGGGACCACCACCAGCGGGGACAUUGCCCUGAUGGAGCUGGACUCCCCCUUGCAGGCCUCCCAGUUCAGCCCCAUCUGCCUCCCAGGACCCCAGACCCCCCUCGCCAUUGGGACCGUGUGCUGGGGUGACUCCGGGGGGCCGCUGGUCUGCCCCAUCAAUGAUACGUGGAUCCAGGCCGGCAUUGUGAGCUGGGGAUUCGGCUGUGCCCGGCCUUUCCGGCCUGGUGUCUACACCCAGGUGCUAAGCUACACAGACUGGAUUCAGAGAACCCUGGCUGAAUCUCACUCAGGCAUGUCUGGGGCCCGCCCAGGUGCCCCAGGAUCCCACUCAGGCACCUCCAGAUCCCACCCAGUGCUGCUGCUUGAGCUGUUGACCGUAUGCUUGCUUGGGUCCCUGUGAACCAUGAGCCAUGGAGUCCGGGAUCCCCUUUCUGGUAGGAUUGAUGGAAUCUAAUAAUAAAAACUGUAGGUUUUUUAUGUGUA